GAUGAAGAACGUAGCGAAAUGCGAUACUUGGUGUGAAUUGCAGAAUCCCGUGAACCAUCGAGUCUUUGAACGCAAGUUGCGCCCGAAGCCAUUAGGCCGAGGGCACGCCUGCCUGGGCGUCACACGUCGUUGCCCCCCCAUCUACUCCUUCGGGAUUGCGGGGGGCGGAUGAUGGCCUCCCGUGCGCCUCGCCGCGCGGUUGGCAUAAAUGCCAAGUCCUCGGCGACGCACGCCACGACAAUCGGUGGUUGCGAAACCUCGGUUGCCCGUCGUGUGCGGUCGACGCGCAUCGAGGGCUCGAAAAAAUUGCCGGGUUCCGGCUCGGCUUUCAACGCGACCCCAGGUCAGGCGGGGUUACCCGCUGAAUUUAAGCAUAUCAAUAAGCGGAGGA
RNAcentral lists this unclassified non-coding RNA (391 nucleotides) under soil metagenome. Its description in RNAcentral is "partial contains 5.8S ribosomal RNA, internal transcribed spacer 2, and large subunit ribosomal RNA". The stretch from base 1 to 122 matches the Rfam family "5.8S ribosomal RNA", at positions 35 to 154 of the family's 154-position model. The record is from RNAcentral.